This 1026-nucleotide ribosomal RNA is filed under the name uncultured soil eukaryote. RNAcentral describes it as "SSU rRNA". It matches the Rfam family "Eukaryotic small subunit ribosomal RNA", at positions 13 to 952 of the family's 1831-position model. The record is from RNAcentral.
CCUGCCAGAAGUUAUAUGCUUGUUUCAAGGAUUAAGCCAUGCAUGUCUAAGAAUAAAGUAAUCUAAGCUGAAUCUGCGUACGGCUCAUUAAACCAGCAAUGAUCUACCCUGGAAAGUGAGGCUUCGGCCUUGCCAUUCGGAUAUCCACUCGAAACGGGUGGUUAAUACGUGGAAGAAAAGAGCCGCCUCCAUUCAACCAGUGCUAGGGGAAACCCGAGCUGGGGAGGCGGUUUGGUGUGGACCGAAACAAAAACCGACGCCCGCAAGGGCAGUUUCAUUACAUCGGUGAAUCAGGUCCACUUAUUACCUAAAGCGCAGUUCACUGCGCGUUCCAGGACGAACUUCUGCCCUAUCAGCUAUGAUGGUUGUGUAGUGGACAACCAUGGCGGUCACGGGUAACGGAGAAUCAGGGUUCGAUUCCGGAGAGUGAGCCUGAGAGACGGCUAACACAACUAAGGUUGGCAGCAGGCGCGCAAAUUACCCAAUGUCAACACUGACGAGGUAGCGACGAAAAAUAGGAUUUCCGCGGGUCUCUGACCCGUGGAGAUUCCAAUGAAUGGUACUUAAACCCACCACUGAGUAACGAUUGGAGGGCAAGUCUGGUGCCAGCAGCCGCGGUAAUUCCAGCUCCAAGAGCGUAUGCUAAUGCUGUUGCUGUUAAAAAGCUCGUAGUUGGAUUCUGAGUUGAAGGUUGCACUACGGGACCACAAGUUCCCAUAAAGAGGCGUCCGCGAUUGUUACUGUGAACAAAACAGCGUGUUCAAAGCAUCCGUUUGGCUGAAUGAUCUAGCAUGGAAUAACAAGGGAUCGACCCUUUUGGUCUUCUUUUUGUCGGUUUUGAUUUCCCCAAGGGGCAAUCAAGGGCGGAGUAACCAUCUGGCCUCUUGUUGCGCUGGCUUCGGCCACGUGCUCAGGAACCAAAUGGUCUCCGUUCCGUCGGUAUUAAUAGGAGCAAGCGGGGUGGUACGUAUUGCUGCGUUAGUGGUGAAAUACUUAGACCGCAGCAGGACGAACAACAGCGAAGGC